GCCAGAAUCAGGGGACUGAAGAAGAAUACGAGAAAAUUGUAGCUUAUAUUCUUCUCCUUGAAUUGUCCAAAACCAGGGUCUUGAUUGCUACCCAACGGAUCUCCUACCUGUGUGCCAUUUGUUGGUUGUUUCUGUGAGAAGAGUCCAGCUUAAAUUGUCCCACAUGUCUUCUUACAUGGGUCACAGGCUGACAGGCACAAAUUUGACACCACCCUUUAAUAAGUUAAAACAAGUAGAGCUUUGACACUUAUUUCUCCUCUAUUGAAGCUGUCUUCUGGGGUUUAGAAACAAAGGGAGUUCGUUCAAUCCAUUCUCCUAUUGAAUCAGCUAUGUCCAGCACUGCCGGUCUUGUUAUUCCUUGCAAAGCUGCAGUGGCAUGGGAGGCAGGGAAGCCAUUGGUGAUUGAGCAAGUGGAGGUAGCCCCUCCGCAGGCCUUGGAAGUGAGGAUCAAAAUCAAAUAUACCUCGCUCUGCCAUACUGAUCUCUACUUCUGGGAAGCCAAGGGCCAGACGCCUUUGUUUCCUCGCAUAUUUGGACAUGAAGCUGCAGGAAUCGUUGAGAGUGUUGGGGAAGGCGUAUCAGAUCUCAAGGUUGGGGAUCAUGUCCUUCCUGUAUUUACUGGAGAAUGUGGGGAAUGCAGGCAGUGCCAGUCUGAGGAAAGUAACAUGUGUGAUUUGCUGAGAAUAAACACUGACAGGGGUGUCAUGAUUAGUGAUGGCAAAUCUAGGUUUUCAAUUGACGGGGUGCCGAUAAAUCAUUUUCUCGGCACAUCAACCUUUAGCGAAUACACAGUUGUGCAUAGAGGUUGCCUUGCAAAGCUCAAUCCAUUAGCACCUUUGGAUAAAGUCUGCGUUCUCAGUUGCGGCAUCUCAACAGGUUGUUGCAUGAUUUCUUUGCUAAAAUGUUGAAGCUGCCUUUUUUUGUUAUCUCACAGAUAACUAUGAAAAGCUUUCCACAUAUUUCAUUUCUCAGGACUGGGUGCGACAUUGAAUGUGGCUAAACCAAAAAAAGGUUCCUCAGUUGCUGUUUUUGGAUUGGGAGCUGUAGGCCUAGCAGCUGCAGAAGGUGCAAGAAUUGCUGGAGCAUCUAGGAUCAUUGGGGUGGAUUUGAACCCCAGUAGAUUUGAGGAAGCCAAGAAGUUUGGUGUAACUGAAUUCGUGAACCCAAAGGAACAUGACAGACCAGUUCAACAGGUAAUUGCAGAGAUGACAAACGGCGGAGUCGACAGGAGUGUAGAGUGUACAGGCCAUAUUGAUGCCAUGAUCGCAGCUUUUGAAUGUGUUCAUGAUGGAUGGGGGGUGGCAGUGCUAGUUGGUGUGCCCAACAAGGAAGCAGUUUUCAUGACUAAGCCAAUCAAUUUACUCAAUGAAAGAACUCUUAAAGGAACCUUCUUUGGGAACUACAAACCGCGGACUGACCUUCCAUCUGUUGUUGAGAUGUACAUGAACAAGAAGUUGGAAUUGGACAAGUUUAUUACUCAUAGGCUGCCUUUUUCUGAUAUCAAUAAGGCCUUUGAGUUAAUGCUGAAGGGGCAGGGCUUGCGGUGCAUUAUUAACAUGGAAGAGUAGGAUCUAAGGUGGAAAAACUGAAAAGCUGAAGCCUUUUUUCCCCUGAAUCAAAUAAACUUGUGAAACAAAUAAAGAAAGGACAUAACAAAUAUCACCCUAUUUCUCUUUUGUAUUUUAUCUUCUUGUGUGUAUGAUGUCUCUAUGUAAUUUACUGGAACCGUUGGAUAUGGGGAACGUAGUUUGGAAUGGGCUUGCUCAUUCACAUCAAAUUGUUUUAAAUGUAUGUUGCAGAUUGCAUAGUACUUCUUGAAAGCAUAAAUUAUAAAUUAAAUCAAAUGGACAUACUGUGACUCAAAAGAUAUAUGUCUAGUAUAUAUAAAUAAUUCUGUUUCCUCUUCUAAGUGCAUGCUCGCUGCUAAUAGGGCAAGUCUAACACAUGGAAAUUGGUCAAUCACACCAUUGUUACUUGUACUUAUCCAUUAUUCUUCUGGCUUCUUCUAAAGGAUCCUCUGAAGAAUCUGAACCUCCACCACCUCUUGGUCCUUUAUCCUUGUUCAAGGCAAUGAAGAUGAAAUAUACGAAUCCCAUUGUAGCCAGAGCAAAGAAAGCCGUAGAUAGAAAUGACUUCAGCAUAAAAAGUGAAAUGGCCAGUGCUACAACUGUUACUGAAAUCCUUGCAAUUGGUCUUGGUACAGAGUCAGGCACCAGAUUAGUUCCUGCUUCAACACCAUCCUUCCCAACCUUCCAUGCUGUUUGAAUAACUACUUUGCAGAACCAAAAAUGCCCAUUAACAAUGCAAAAAUUGAAGCUUUCUUGUAGUUUGCUUAAAUUAGUAGCACAUCAGAAACACAAAUCAGUCAGCUAGAAAAAUUAGGAACUUCUAAACAGCAUAAUAUGCCACUAAUUGGUGGAGGAAUUUGACCUUUUCAGAAGAACCAUGUAACUCAUUACCUAACAAUUGAUCAGAAAAACCUAUGAAAUCAACCCAUAUAUAAAAUAUUUGAAGCAGGCUCAUUGAAUUAAUUAUUGUUCAAUAACAUAUGAAUCUGGUUCAUUUUGCUAAUAAAAUCAUUAACUAAUAAAAUUGUGAUGAAAAUAAGGACGCCCCACCAAAUAACAAAUUUAUCCAUGCCAAUACUACCAAACCAGUUUAAGCAGAAAGUAAGAUUAUGUUAAAACAAAUGAAUUCAAAACAGUAAUAUUAAACUCAACGUCCAAUGACAGAAAAAAUAAAAGGAAGACAAUGGCAGACCUUUAAAGAAAUCAAACUGAGCGGCGAAGACGACGGGAGCGCACCUAGAAUUGCGAGGUGUGGGCUUGAGAAGUCGGAAUUUCGGAAGGAGAAGAGAUUGGUGGUUGAGUUUUAGAAAGGAAGCAGAGGAAAGAAACCGGGA
This 2902-nucleotide unclassified non-coding RNA is filed under the name Hevea brasiliensis (rubber tree). The record is from RNAcentral. Lineage: Eukaryota; Viridiplantae; Streptophyta; Magnoliopsida; Malpighiales; Euphorbiaceae.